AUUUAUACGGUGAAACUGCGAAUGGCUCAUUAAAUCAGUUAUCGUUUAUUUGAUAGUACCUUACUACAUGGAUACCUGUGGUAAUUCUAGAGCUAAUACAUGCUGAAAACCUCGACUUCGGAAGGGGUGUAUUUAUUAGAUAAAAAACCAAUGCCCUUCGGGGCUCCUUGGUGAAUCAUAAUAACUUAACGAAUCGCAUGGCCUUGCGCCGGCGAUGGUUCAUUCAAAUUUCUGCCCUAUCAACUUUCGAUGGUAGGAUAGUGGCCUACCAUGGUGGCAACGGGUAACGGGGAAUUAGGGUUCGAUUCCGGAGAGGGAGCCUGAGAAACGGCUACCACAUCCAAGGAAGGCAGCAGGCGCGCAAAUUACCCAAUCCCGACACGGGGAGGUAGUGACAAUAAAUACUGAUACGGGGCUCUUUUGGGUCUCGUAAUUGGAAUGAGUACAAUCUAAAUCCCUUAACGAGGAACAAUUGGAGGGCACCUCUGGUGCCAGCAGCCGCGGUAAUUCCAGCUCCAAUAGCGUAUAUUAAAGUUGUUGCAGUUAAAAAGCUCGUAGUUGAACCUUGGGUUCGGCCGGCCGGUCCGCCUCACCGCGAGUACUGUCCGGCCGUUCCUUUCCUUCUGGGGAAUCCCAUGGCCUUCACUGGCUGUGGGGGGAACCAGGACUUUUACUGUGAAAAAAUUAGAGUGUUCAAAGCAGGCCUUUGCUCGAAUACAUUAGCAUGGAAAUAAUAGAAUAGACGUGUGGUUCUAUUUUGUUGGGUUUCU
Molecule: ribosomal RNA, 770 nt
Filed under: Aspergillus niger
Lineage: Eukaryota; Fungi; Ascomycota; Eurotiomycetes; Eurotiales; Aspergillaceae
Description: SSU rRNA
Rfam family: Eukaryotic small subunit ribosomal RNA
Source: RNAcentral